This 421-nucleotide non-coding RNA is filed under the name Pongo abelii (Sumatran orangutan). The record is from RNAcentral. Lineage: Eukaryota; Metazoa; Chordata; Mammalia; Primates; Hominidae.
GAAGAAACUGAGGUUAAGGUCGCGAUGCUCUGGCCAGCAUCACAGGUAAACGAUUUUGGCAGUGCCCGGAGAAGGAUAGAAGGGCCUCUCUCUGAGAUCGGGUCCUUCUCCUGCAGGGCAGCAGAGUGGAAGCCAGGGCCUGGGACCCUCUGGUUGGGCAAGGAGGGACUGGAGUCCGGCUCCCGGCGACCCCGUCCCCAGUGCCAGCGGCGGGGUCGCCCGUGGCGGCCCGGACAGGCCACGGGUCCCUCUCCACAAGUCCCAUUACGUUGUAUUUAUGUUUCGUGUUAUUGUUUUUUUUUUCUCCUCCCUUAUUAUUGUCUCACUCUGGGGGAGGCAAAGGAUAUAAUAUAUUCAUCUUUAUUAUACCAAAUCUGUGUGAAGCAUUUAAUAAAACGCUGUUUCCACACAGCCAGGGAUA